CCUACGGGCGUGCAGCAGUGGGGAAUAUUGGACAAUGGGCGAAAGCCUGAUCCAGCCAUGCCGCGUGUGUGAAGAAGGCCUUCGGGUUGUAAAGCACUUUCAGUGGGGAAGAAAGCCUUGGGGCUAAUACCCUCGAGGAAGGACAUCACCCACAGAAGAAGCACCGGCUAACUCCGUGCCAGCAGCCGCGGUAAUACGGAGGGUGCGAGCGUUAAUCGGAAUUACUGGGCGUAAAGCGCGCGUAGGCGGUCUGAUAAGCCGGUUGUGAAAGCCCCGGGCUCAACCUGGGAACGGCAUCCGGAACUGUCAGGCUAGAGUGCAGGAGAGGAAGGUAGAAUUCCCGGUGUAGCGGUGAAAUGCGUAGAGAUCGGGAGGAAUACCAGUGGCGAAGGCGGCCUUCUGGACUGACACUGACGCUGAGGUGCGAAAGCGUGGGUAGCAAACAGGAUUAGAUACCCUAGUAGUC
Molecule: ribosomal RNA, 466 nt
Filed under: Vreelandella stevensii
Lineage: Bacteria; Pseudomonadati; Pseudomonadota; Gammaproteobacteria; Oceanospirillales; Halomonadaceae
Description: partial 16S ribosomal RNA
Rfam family: Bacterial small subunit ribosomal RNA
Source: RNAcentral